RNAcentral lists this ribosomal RNA (388 nucleotides) under uncultured bacterium. RNAcentral describes it as "bacterial SSU rRNA". It matches the Rfam family "Bacterial small subunit ribosomal RNA", at positions 28 to 419 of the family's 1533-position model. The record is from RNAcentral.
GACGAACGCUGGCGGCGUGCUUAACACAUGCAAGUCGAGCGGUAAGGCCCUUCGGGUACACGAGCGGCGAACGGGUGAGUAACACGUGGGUGACCUGCCUCUAGCUCUGGGAUAAGCCUGGGAAACUGGGUCUAAUACCGGAUAUGACUCCACGGCGCAUGUUGUGGGGUGGAAAGCCUUGUGUGGCUAGAGAUGGGCCCGCGGCCUAUCAGCUUGUUGGUGGGGNGAUGGCCUACCAAGGCGACGACGGGUAGCCGGCCUGAGAGGGCGACCGGGCCACACUGGGACUGAGACACGGCCCAGACUCCUACGGGAGGCAGCAGUGGGGAAUCUUGCGCAAUGGGCGAAAGCCUGACGCAGCGACGCCGCGUGAGGGAUGACGGCCUGG